This 758-nucleotide long non-coding RNA is filed under the name Helianthus annuus (common sunflower). RNAcentral's name for it is "hypothetical non coding rna". The record is from RNAcentral. Lineage: Eukaryota; Viridiplantae; Streptophyta; Magnoliopsida; Asterales; Asteraceae.
GGCACCCACAGGAGUACUCCGAGAGUAACCCGAGUGGUCCACCACCAAUUCCGGGGAAAACCCGGUAACUCACCCGCCCGUAGGCACGACGGUAAAAUCUUCCUAAUAGUUUUAUUUCAAAGUCUAGGCUUUUAAUAACAUAAGUAUUUUAUGUAAACAACUGAUGUAUAUAAAUUAUGAUAAACAAACAUAUAUAUGCAAACUUAUUCCCGUUGCCUUUAUAUAAAUAAUUGUUUAGUUGUUAGUACAUAAUUAGUUUUAGAUUAAAACAACCCGUGGGAACAAAAAUACACAAUUAUAUAUACUGCUAAUCAGAUGCAAUGAGAGAAAUGAGGAGGUUGAAGGGUUACAUAAUGGUUUAUGUAUAAUAUUUAAAGGAACGAGUAUAAGUUUUUAUGAUGUUCUCAUAGUUUUUUUAGUUAGAAUUUGUUUUAUAUUUAUAAACUAGGUUAUAACCCCGUGUAUUACACGGGUUAAGUAAAUAAAAAAUCAAAUAGUUAAUAACGAAGAUUUAACAAUUUUAAAAUGAUAUUUUUAAGACGCUUUUAUGAUAUCCAAACAAAAUUUUGUGUCAUGUAUGAUCAAAACUUGUGAUGUUUGUCAAGUUUAUAAAUAUGAAAGCAUUUGAACCAUCGAUUAGAAUACAGACUGUAUCAUCGACUUUUUCACGAGUUUUAACAUGCUCUUAAUUUAUUAGUUCUAAAAAAAUGUUGAAAUGUACAGAUAAGGCAUAUAGCAAUUAUCCAAUUAGAUAAAUU